This 75-nucleotide transfer RNA is filed under the name Sphaerodactylus townsendi. Its description in RNAcentral is "tRNA-Ala". It matches the Rfam family "tRNA". From Rfam's summary of the family: Transfer RNA (tRNA) molecules are approximately 80 nucleotides in length. Their secondary structure includes four short double-helical elements and three loops (D, anti-codon, and T loops). Further hydrogen bonds mediate the characteristic L-shaped molecular structure. tRNAs have two regions of fundamental functional importance: the anti-codon, which is responsible for specific mRNA codon recognition, and the 3' end, to which the tRNAs corresponding amino acid is attached (by aminoacyl-tRNA synthetases). tRNAs cope with the degeneracy of the genetic code in two manners: having more than one tRNA (with a specific anti-codon) for a particular amino acid; and 'wobble' base-pairing, i.e. permitting non-standard base-pairing at the 3rd anti-codon position. The record is from RNAcentral. Lineage: Eukaryota; Metazoa; Chordata; Lepidosauria; Squamata; Sphaerodactylidae.
GGUGAGGCCUUGGCUCAGUGGAAGAGCAGCUGCGUGGCAUGCAGAAUGUCCCGGGUUCAACCCCCAGCGUCUCUG